CAGUAGCCACGGUAAUACGAAGGGGGCUAGCGUUGUUCGGAUUUACUGGGCGUAAAGCGCACGUAGGCGGACUUUUAAGUCAGGGGUGAAAUCCCGGGGCUCAACCCCGGAACUGCCUUUGAUACUGGAAGUCUUGAGUAUGGUAGAGGUGAGUGGAAUUCCGAGUGUAGAGGUGAAAUUCGUAGAUAUUCGGAGGAACACCAGUGGCGAAGGCGGCUCACUGGACCAUUACUGACGCUGAGGUGCGAAAGCGUGGGGAGCAAACAGGAUUAGAUACCCCUGUAGUCCCUGUCUCUUAUAC
Molecule: ribosomal RNA, 301 nt
Filed under: uncultured bacterium
Lineage: Bacteria
Description: partial 16S ribosomal RNA
Rfam family: Bacterial small subunit ribosomal RNA
Source: RNAcentral